RNAcentral lists this long non-coding RNA (7768 nucleotides) under Triticum aestivum (bread wheat). Its description in RNAcentral is "long non-coding RNA (TAES_LNC000359)". The record is from RNAcentral. Lineage: Eukaryota; Viridiplantae; Streptophyta; Magnoliopsida; Poales; Poaceae.
CACCCGAACCCCACGAAGUUAUGCUCAACGCACCAACCACACCAGUCGCGCAGAACCCGGUCUCGAGCCAACCAGAGAAGAAACUGGCCAUGCCUCUCCUCUACCGCCACAUCAUCGUCCUGCUCGUCGUCCUCUUCGCUGCAGCUUCCCGUGGCGAUCCAGCCGGUGGCGCAUACGACCGCCCGACGUGCCAGCUCGAACCUUCCACCUGCAGCCAUGUCAGCGUCCGGUACCCGUUCCAUCUUUACAACGGAACAGAUGAGGCAGUGCCGGAGCACGGCGAGCUGCAGUCGUCGCACUGCGGCUACCCCGGCCUGGCCAUCAUCUGCGACGACGACAGGCCCAUCCUCCGCCUCGGCAGGGACAACUACACGGUAUCGAAUAUCAACUACACCAACCUCACCAUCUCCCUCGCCGACGCCGACGCCCUCGGCGACGACACCUGCCCCAUGGUCGAUCACAACGUCACCGUCCCGAAGCAGUUCCAUCUGCCCACCUCCACCAUCGCUUACCUCUUCUUCUUCGUCAACUGCACCUUCCUGCCGGAAGCCGAUUUCGCUACUCCAUCACGCAAGCUGCCGAGCAUCAAGCCAGUCACCUGCGGGAGCUCUGGACAAGAGCCUGCCAUGUCCUUCGUGCUGCCGGAACGCGAGAUCCCUCCCAAGGACUGGUGGCAGGCAUGCCGGUCAGUCUACGCAGCCCCCGUGCUCAAGGACGCCCUCCCCGCCGACGCAAAGGACCCUGGGUGGAGAGAGGGCGGGUACGCGAAGGCUCUCCGCGGCGGGUUCCAGGUGGGCUGGGACCGGAGCUCCGGCCCGUGCGGCCAGUGCGAGCAGUUCGGCGGCAAGUGCGGCUACAACGGCACCGGCGGGCUCCUGGGCCCUGGUGGUGGGCAACGCCGCCGACUGCAGCAAGAUAUCUGACACCACCGCGCCGCUGCCCGGUAAGCCCACCAUUCCGAUCAAACUGCUGCAGCACUUUUGUGAGUACCGUGCAAAUCUUAUCAUGGAAUCCUCAUUUGCCUUGCCCGACCGUCACCGGCAACUAAAAAUCCGUACACUCUGCCUAACUUCGCUUGGCAAUUUUGAACUACCUAGCAAGAUGCCCGUGCAUUACAUGGAACAUUAAGAUGCAUUUUUUUACAAAACACCUGUUGUGAUUGACCCAUGUAGGAAUAAUCCCAUGUGUAAAAACUAAUGAUAUCUCGAGAAUUUUAUCAAAAAAAUGAUAUAUCGAGAAAGAUGAGAGAUAAGGUGAGGAGAAGUGGGGCGCGGUGGUGAUUGGUGGUCGGACUUAGCAGAGGCAUGGGGAUGGACGAUGCCGGCAGCGGCCACCGUGCCAGAUUGUUUCAGAGGCUUCCUUUUUUAAUUACUCAAAUGAAGUUGUGGGAGAUAAGGAUGAACGAGAGAGGUGCGGAUAUCCUUUUACAAAAUUGCCAUAGUUUGUUUUCUAUCCAUAAGAUAUAGAUCGGACGGUCUAUAUUGCAAGAUGGCAGAUACACCAUCAUCACUAACUCGGGUUUUUAUAAGAGUAGAGAAACAACGUCACUUUGCAUGUCAUAACUGAAUCCAUAGGCUCAAAGCUGGCUUUUUUUUAUCGAAUCAUGCAAAGAGCUGCAUGCAAUAAUAAUUACAGUAGAUAGAAAGAAAAGUCCGUGUGGUGGGCGUGUGGACGUGAACAUGUGAUGACUGAUGAUUGAGGUCUUUGCACUUUGUAUUGACCAGCAUUUGCCGACAUGCAAUGCACCAGUCUUUGUAUAUCUCGCUUGUCAAUUCCUUCCCAUUUCGCCGGAAGACAAACCCAAUUGUGUGCAUCAAGUAAGGUGUGUGGUAGACGACGUGGUUUUUACUUUCACUGUUGCAUAAUAUAAGAGUGUUUUUUAUUGACGUAUAAGUGCAUAGCUCUCCUUUCCCCACUAGCUUUAACUUUUGAGUGAAUUGGCUUGUGCGUGUAGUUCUAUAUGGUAUCAGAGUAAAGAGGUCAUGAGUAAGACCCGACUGACUGCAAUUAAAUUACAAGUCCACUUCCGGUUCACGUUUACAAAAGUUGUGGUUUUCGUCCGGGGUUUUUCUGUUUUGAACCUGGGUUGGUUUACCCUCGGCGACCCCCUUUUUCAGACAAAUAAAAACUGUAAAAGCCAACAAUUAACAGCUCAUUUGCCAUUUGGUCCAAACAUCUGCCUGCAUCCUGCUCUCGAUUAGGAUGCUUAUAUGUAUGCACUUGGCGAUUCCCAAAUAAGUAGAUAAUUUUCAUUGGGAACGGAAGGAAAUGUCUGUCUCAGGAAACUGUUCUGUGGGUGUAGAUCGGUCAAAUUUAUACACGCACACUAGUCUCAACGGACCAAACUCAGAGAGAUAGAGAUGGCAGACGACUGACUAGUCUGCCGCCAAGAUACCGUUGACCGGCAUGAUCCUGCCAUCUAUCACGUCGCCCAUCCUCCUCCGAAACUUCUACCCAGGACCAAGAGCCCUCGCAACAUGUAAACGAAGGCAUGCGGGCGGACAGCGAACCACCGGUUUAUAAAGAUCAAAGCAGAGAAUGGAACACUACUGCUGACUUUUAGCUAGCUAGCCAAGCAGCCAUGCCUCUCUUGCUAAGCCACCACCACCAGCUGCUGCUGCUUCUCCUCUUGGUUGCCGUUACCGCCUCCCAUGGCGAUUCAUCUGAUGAUGAUACUUACAACCCAUCCAUGUGUCUGCCUCAAACUUACACCUGCGGGGACGUGAGGAUCAGCUACCCGUUCUAUCUCGCCGGGGAGACAAAAGAUGUCAAGGGCAACGCCAACUCGUACUGCGGCUACCCUGGCCUGAGGAUCCUCUGCAACGACGACAAACCCAUCCUGCAGCUCAACGGCACCGCCAACUACACGGUGAAGAGCAUCGACGGCGCGCUCGCAACCGUCUCUCUAGCCGACCCAGCGGUGGACGACGCCCGCAACACCUGCCCAAGACCAAGAAUCGACCGCAACAUCACUUUGCAAGAGGGAUCGCUGCUGUACUUUCCUGACAGCACGGUCGAUUACCUUGUCUUCUUCAUCGGCUGCGCCUUCAACUCUACCUUCCACCAACCGAGUUACAUCCGCCCGAUCAGCUGCGAAAGCUUUGACGAUGGUCCUGGUCCUGGGCUAUCGUUCGUGCUUCCCGAUGAUGCAGUGCCCGCCGGCAACUGGGUGCAGGCGUGCAGCCAAGUCAUACAAUUGCCUGUGCACAAAUACGGCGAGAUCAACCUUACUGACCCUGGAUGGACAAACGGGAGUGGAUAUGCCAGUGUUCUUCGUCAGGAAUUCCAGCUGGGAUGGAACGAGAGCGCGAAGGACCCGGCAUGUAUCCAGUGCGAGGGCCGCUUGCCCGUUGCAAACGCCAACCUGAUUUAAUCGGAAAUUCAUUUCAGUUUCAGUGUCAGGGGCGCUUGUGCCUGAAAAACGAACGAAACCAAGAGCGCGUCCGUCCGUUUCGAAAAAAGAAUAGCGCGUGAGGUAGGGCAGAAGCGUUAAUAUUCGUUCCCAUUUCGUCAGUCGUCAGUCGACAAGGAUGGUUCCCGACCUUUUCCACACCCAUUGUUCCCUACUUUGCUCGUGACUGUGGGGUUCAUUACCAUCAGGCGAACCGCUGCCUCGCGUUCGAGAAGCUCUAAGAGCUUCUCUUUCUUCCUUUCUUCUCUGAGUUUCCGGGGCUGUACAAACACACACCUACAUCCUCAGUAGGUCUUCGGAAGAGAGUUGACGGGGUCCUAAUUCUUUCUUUCUGUGGCCGGGAUCCAGCUUGGAUUACCACCAACACCAACUGAACUGUUUUUACAGAGACCAUUAAGAGAACUUAUCAAUUCCUAAAUUAAAAGCUUGCUGUGGAAGACAAAAGUAAAUAUCGGCGCCCGACUAGAAGCCUUUUCUUCCACGCGCCUGGGCGAGUCUCCACGGAACAGCGACGGGAGGUACUAGUACAACAGACGACUUCCGUGGCACACUCUCGUUACGUACGUAUGCGCGACACCGGAGACCGGACUGGUCAAAGGUUGAGCAAGAGGGGCUUCCCGGCAUGUCCCUCUCAUCGGCCUGCCAUGCCAGUCGCCGGAGAAACUCGCAAGGCCUCCGCCACUUAUAAACGCAGAGGAGGAGCAGCGGCAAGAAACAAACGGCCCGGUGCAGACAGCCACCAAACCAGAGAGGAGAAAAAGGAGACCCUCGCUCGCCUAACUCCAUUAGCCGAUAGCCAUGCCCCUCUUGAUAUGCCACCGGCUGCUGCUGCUUCUCCUCUUCUGGGUCGCCGCCUCCCAUGGCGAUUCAUCUGAUGAUGGGGCUUACGACCCCUCCAUGUGCCUGAAUCAAACUUACACCUGCGGAGAGGUGAGGAUCAGCUACCCGUUCUAUCUCGCCGGGGAGACCAAAGAUCUCAAGGGCAACGCCAACUCCUACUGCGGAUACCCUGGCCUGGGGAUCCUCUGCGACGACGACAAGCCCAUCCUGCAGCUCGACGGCAUCGUCAACUACACCGUCAAGAGCGUCGACGGCGCAACCGCGACCGUCUCUCUAGCCGACCCGAACGUCGACGACGACCGCAACACCUGCCCGAGACCAAGAAUCGAUCACAACAUCACUUUGCAAAAGGGAUCGCUGCUGUACUUUCCUGACAGCGCGGUCGAUUACCUUAUCUUCUUCAUCGACUGCAUCUUCAACUCUACCUUCCACCAACCGAAUAGCAUCUACCCGAUCAGCUGCAAAGGCUUUGAUGCUGGUCCUCGUCCUGGACUAUCCUUCGUGCUUCCGGAUGAUGCAGUGCCCGCCGGCAACUGGGUGCAAGCGUGCAACCAAGUCAUACAAUUGCCUGUGCACAAAUACGGCGAGAUCAACCUUACUGACCCUGGAUGGACAAACGGGAGUGGAUAUGCCAGUGUUCUUCGUCAGGAAUUCCAGCUGGGAUGGAACGACAGCGGGAAGCCCCCGGCAUGUAUCCAGUGCGAGGGGUCCAAUUCCAAGGGACGGUGCGGUCACAGUCGGACCGGCGAUUUCAUCGGCUGCUUGUGCCCUGACGGCCUAGUACACUCCGAUAAUACUUGCAAUAAAUCCCGUAAGUUCUCUGAAUCUGAAGCUUUUCCUUUGCAGAAGUUGCGUUUUUCUAGCUGCUGUGUAGCUGCCCUGUAGUUGUAUCUCGGGCACUCGGUGCUUUCUUUCCACUUACGGACAAAUCCUUAAUUUCAUCAUCUCUUGGAGAAAUACCUCACACACAUGCUUUCUCACCAAGUAGAGGGUCGAGUGCAGAGCCUAAACAUUUCUUAUCACUGUAAACAAAGCCUAUCAGACCACCAUAAAUCUAAGCCUUCAGUUUUGUCAGUUUGACUUCCAGGUGUGAGAGAGCCUGCAAACUUCUUUUUUUUUUGGCGGGAGCGAGAGAGCCCGCAACUUAUACCGACUUGUUGCAUAUAAAUGUCAAGGUUUUUUUCCUGUGGCAUGGUAAUCGUUCAGGUUAAUAGUACAUGAGCGGAAGCCCAGCCAAUUCUAACUCGUAGGCGAGACCAAUUCCCGCCCCGAUUUGGACGUGAUUGCUUCAUGUGAAGUACUGUAAACGCGUUCUGUUUUACUCUUCUUGUAUCUGGUGGGGAACACAUUUCUAUUACUCGAAUGACAAAUAGGAUUGUGCACAUGUUUUCCACAGGUGUUGUCGAAAAAUUAGACGCCAGCUUAACCAUUCCGCGGACAUUCCUUUGUUUUUCUUUUCGGAUAUGCAAUUUCUUAGCCGUUGCUGAAAUUUGUCUUGGUCCACCGAGGACCAUUUUUUUUUUCCGACCGAGUCGUUGACCAACUAGAAUGCUGAGAAAUCCAUGCCACGGCACUAGAGAGCGCGCCCACAACGGGAGGAAGCCAGACACCUCCACAGUAUCUCCACCUUCUUCGUCUCAUCCAGUUCCGACUUUAGCGGUGAUGAUACAUCUGGUUGCAGGGCCAUGCGGCUCUAGGACUGGAUGCGACCCGUGGGCACGUCGCGAGUGGUGGGGUAUGAAGAGAAAGUAAGGGGAGGGGCUUCACUGAGGAUGUUGAACAGGAGCAGGGGCUCCCCGGUGAAGGUGUGAGAGAGAGGAGGAGAAGGAGUUGCGACCAGUGGCAGAGCNNNNNNNNNNNNNNNNNNNNNNNNNNNNNNNNNNNNNNNNNNNNNNNNNNNNNNNNNNNNNNNNNNNNNNNNNNNNNNNNNNNNNNNNNNNNNNNNNNNNNNNNNNNNNNNNNNNNNNNNNNNNNNNNNNNNNNNNNNNNNNNNNNNNNNNNNNNNNNNNNNNNNNNNNNNNNNNNNNNNNNNNNNNNNNNNNNNNNNNNNNNNNNNNNNNNNNNNNNNNNNNNNNNNNNNNNNNNNNNNNNNNNNNNNNNNNNNNNNNNNNNNNNNNNNNNNNNNNNNNNNNNNNNNNNNNNNNNNNNNNNNNNNNNACUCCGAAGUCCAUCAGAAAAACACAUAGCGUGUGCGUGACAACCGAGAUUUGUGAAGCGGUGCCCACCUGAUUUGACAAGUCGGGCUAGGGUUUUCAGUUAGGUUCAAAGUGGAAGAAUAAGCACAAUGAUGUCUCCAGUGAGGGACGUGAUGUCCGCGAGUGUCACUGUCAUCAGAGUUCGUCGUCAAGACGCACUUUUGCUUGGUCCACAUCUUCCCACGCGUAGUAGCCGCAUCACAUCCAUUUUUGUGGAACCACCAUCCUAGAGACCACCAUAGGCCGGACCCAAAAAACCUCUAGAUUAUACCUAUGAGCCCAUCCAUCUCCUUCCAUCAACUCACCCACCUUACGGUCGAGAAGAACGGCAUCGUCCGUGAGCACCGCCUACAAAGGCGAAUAUGACAAUUCGCCAAUCGCUAGACAAGGGCGCCGCCCUGGCUACCGUGCCAUCGUCGUCGUCGGUAAGCCACCACAGUGGGAGGAUGAUGAGAGCCCCACCGAUGUCAUCCACCAUAAGUCCAAAGACCAGGUAGAGCUUGUGUUGUCACCAUUUACCACGAGGCUUCGGGAGGUGGCUAGGGUUGAAAGAAGGAGUAGAGGCGACCAGCACUUAUCGGUUACACCGAAUCAAUUCGAAAGUCUAUUGAAGAUUCACUUUGGAAGUUUAUUAGAACCAUUUGAGUUUUUUCUUGUAACUAGAAUAGUUUAUGGAUCAUUUGAAUUUCAAAGAUUUUCGUAAUCAUGACAGCGUUGCAUAGCGUGUGAGAAGAGAAAAUGGAAAGGUCAGGCGAACGGUUGGGAUGUCCACGUGGCCGAAGAGAGUGUGCAUACCCACCUUCAUAGACGUGCAGGUGCAGAAUCGUCCCGAAAGACAACCAAAUCUUUCUAGAUAAAACGCCAAAUUAUAUCAUAAUAUAUAGACCACGAGCAUAUUUCCUUGGACUGGCAACAAAAAAGAACCCACUGUCGAGUCGCGACUCAGCUACGGGGAGGAGACUUGACACAGCUGCGGCAAGCUGGCGCGUCGCAACUGCCACAGCCUUCCCGUCAACUGUCACGGUGCCGUACGUCCUGCACUGCCCACCCAACCGGCCAACCCCCUCACCCGAACCCCGCCAAGCCGGCUUAUAACCAGGAGGCAGGCAACCAACCGCGCAUAAACCGGCCUCGCUCGAGCCAACCAGAGAAGAAACUGGCCAUGCCUCCCCUCUGCCGCCCCCGCCACGGCCAUGUCAUCGUCCUGCUCGUCGUCCUCCUCGCCGGCGCUUCCCAUGGCGAUCCAGCCGACCGCCCGACGUGCCAGCUCGAGCCGCUCACCUGCGGCGAUCUCACUGUCCAGUACCCCUUCCAUCUUUAC